Molecule: long non-coding RNA, 1582 nt
Filed under: Mus musculus (house mouse)
Lineage: Eukaryota; Metazoa; Chordata; Mammalia; Rodentia; Muridae
Description: predicted gene, 30288
Source: RNAcentral
GAGGGAGUGGUCCCUGAACUGAAGAAAUUGCUGUUUCCCUUCCCAUGUGUACAGGCUGGUUCUGUGAGAAGUUUCUAGUUAGUGAACACAUAGGUAUCUUUGCUUUUACUUUGUUUCUCAAUCACAGUCAUCUCACAAUGCCAAGUGUGGAGUAGUGGGCAUAGAUGUGAUGUCAGCUCCUGGGGACCAUAGAGACUGUCCAUAAGUCUGUGCCCUGGACUGAUGCGUUUCUGAAGUCACAAGGAGCCAUUAUUUCUAGUACAUGAGGGGAAGACAUGAGACGGGUGACAGGGAAGAGAGAUGUCUACCUGGGAGCAGCUUCUUGGGUUAAAUCACAGAACACAGACACCAGUGAAGACAGUGCUGUGGCUUGGAGGAUUUUGUCUAAUUCACAAAGGAAAGACGAGGUGACUUUGCUGGCCCAAGAACCAGGAGUUUCGUGAACAUUUGCCUUCUUCACCUGUUCUGAGGCAGCAGCCUGAGCAGCGCCCUGCACCGAGCAGAAGACAUUUGCGCUUACAACGACGACAGUCCAACAUGCUUGAUUCAAUAUUUGAAGAUGAGGGUGAAGUUUCAAUCCGUAAAGAAAUGGCCCUGGUCAGGCACAGCAGAUGGAGAACUACCAGUAAGAACACUUCCCGGAUGAUGUCCAGUAACAAGCCCAUUUUCCUCCAUGACUGAGUCACUGGGAACACUGACGUAGCUGGAUUCUACAAGGUAAUCAUCCUCUGACUUCCCGGAAUCUUGUAAUGAGUCAUCUCUCAGAAGUUCACAUUCCCUUUAUCUUUCACCAAACUUUAUCUAUUAAAAUCAAUAGUGUUGUGACUGGUCACUGUAGAUGCUGGAGCAGCCUAUCAGCUUACACGGUUCACCUGCGGCUCUAAGGCAAAGGCAGUUGCAGUCAACACACUCAGCUCCUGUGACUCCACCUCCCGUGUUAUACCCUAGACCUCCAGACACAGCACUCUUAUUUGCCUGAUACUUUGUUUCUCUGUCUUCCAGAAUGAGACAUAGACCUAGCAAGUCUUACAUGAAAAGCCACUGGUACAAGGUAAACUAUCUAUCCAUCGGUGCAAUACUCCCAUCUACCAGGCAAGGUUUGCCAACUAGGGCAAUAGCGGCACAAGUGCUACAGUGGUAACCAACUACUUUCAGCUUGGCUCUGAGGUUUGCUACACUGCGUUUUAAGCACAUAAUUUGCUGCCUGCUGUACAGCUCUUGUUCACUUCAGUUCUUCCUCUUCUGGCCUCAAUACGAAGACAAUCAUAAAUUUUACUUAAGAAUGUCAUACAUUACACUAUAAAAAUUCUUUUAACUUUUUUUUUUAACCUUUGAGAACUCAGUCUUAAAAGCUGGAGUGAAAAUGCUCUACUUUCUUACACAUUUGCCAUGAUGGUGCUCUCCUCCAUGGGAGGGCAUUUUCUUCAGGUGCUCUCCCUCUGCCCCUCUCUGUGUUCUGUCGGCUGAUAAGAAGUCAGUGUAAAGCUUCCUUUACCUACAGAAGUUUAUCUCAUCUCCAUUUCUGAAAUGUGCUUUAGUAACAUUCAAUAUAUGAUAAAUAAAGCAGUCUCUCAAUGUCCGA